UACGUAGGGAGCAAGCGUUGUCCGGAAUCAUUGGGCGUAAAGCGCGCGUAGGUGGCUUCGUAAGUCCGUUGUGAAAGUCAAAGGCUCAACCUUUGAAAGCCGAUGGAUACUGUGAAGCUAGAGUACGGAAGAGGCGAGUGGAAUUCCUGGUGUAGCGGUGGAAUGCGCAGAUAUCAGGAGGAACACCAAUAGCGAAGGCGGCACUCUGGGCCGAUACUGACGCUGAGGUGCGAAAGCGUGGGGAGCAAACAGG
Molecule: ribosomal RNA, 253 nt
Filed under: uncultured bacterium
Lineage: Bacteria
Description: partial 16S ribosomal RNA
Rfam family: Bacterial small subunit ribosomal RNA
Source: RNAcentral